AAGCCAUGUUGUAGGCAUGAACUAACAAGAUCCUUGAACUGCUCCCAACAUUAAAAGAAUGUCUCAUACUCCUUUUGGGUGAAGUUUAUGAUUGAAUUUUUGAUGGU
Molecule: small nucleolar RNA, 107 nt
Organism: Magnolia sinica
Lineage: Eukaryota; Viridiplantae; Streptophyta; Magnoliopsida; Magnoliales; Magnoliaceae
Source: RefSeq, a predicted model, not a curated record